This 247-nucleotide long non-coding RNA is filed under the name Arachis ipaensis. RNAcentral describes it as "long non-coding RNA (AIPA_LNC001228)". Lineage: Eukaryota; Viridiplantae; Streptophyta; Magnoliopsida; Fabales; Fabaceae. The record is from RNAcentral.
AAAGGCUUCAAUUCCUAAAAAUAAUAAUAAAAUAAAAUAAAGUAAAAUACCCCUCAUCAAAUACCACCUGAUAUGCCCUGAUUUGUAAGAUAUAUCAUGCAAUUGGGAUUUCAAUUCACCAUGGAAAGAAACAUUUAACCGAAUUUCAUAAACCCAAAAGGAAAAAGAAACAGCUUUGAGCUUGAAGUGUUCCUUCGCCUGCUGCGUUCAAAAUUCAGAGCUUUAACACGCCCGGACUCAGUUAUGC